GGAAUAGCUGUUGAUUCAGCCAAUGAUCAUCUCUACUGGGUUGAUUAUACCGGACACAAACUCUCAAGAUGCAAUCUAGACGGAACUAAUGUAACUGUGUUAACUUCUUCCCUGAGUUAUCCAUUUGUGGUACGACUUGAUGUUACAAACAGGUGGAUGUAUAUAGUUGAACGCAAUUUAGGAAUAUCGGAGUCUAGAUUCGAGUUAUUUGAAAAACAGACGAUCGUUAGCUUUACAUCAAUACUUGUUUCUUGUAUGGACAUAGACCCUGAUGAAAAAAGACUGUAUUGGAUUAAUCACGAUGGUGACAUAAAAUCAGCUAAGUAUGAUGGUUCUGAUGUUAAAAAAAUUAUUUCAACAAAUCGUUUUGGAUACUAUUACUACGCUAUUGGUGUCUUUGGUGGCUACAUUUACUAUGCUAACGAGAACGAGUUGUUAAUGCUGGAUAAAACACCAGGAUCAACGUCGACUGUUUUGUAUAAUAAAACCAGCCAGAUUAACAGUAUAUUUGUAUUUAAUCAAUUAGGUAUGUGAAUACUCGUUCAAUGACAAGCAAUAGCAUACACCAACUUGGUUAAAAAAAACCUUGUAAUAGCAUACUUGAGUAUUUUACAAACGAUGUUAAGAAUGGAAGUAAUUCAUACAUUAUCAUUAUUAGGCUGUAUUUAAAAUAUCCAAACACGUGUAGUAAUGCAUAAAUUAGUUAUGUGCUUUGACGAUGUGUCAGUUAUAUGGGAUACACGUCUGUGAAAGCAACCCAACAUAAUAAAUGCCAUAGACAGCCGUUUUUAAUUAUUAAUCCGUUUGCAAUCAGUUGU
Mytilus californianus (California mussel) is the source of this 818-nucleotide long non-coding RNA. RefSeq lists it as uncharacterized. The record is from RefSeq and is a predicted model, not a curated record. The transcript is spliced from 3 exons. NCBI's taxonomy places the organism in Eukaryota, Metazoa, Mollusca, Bivalvia, Mytilida, Mytilidae.